GCUUUGUGGAAGGUACCUGUGGCGCUGAUGUUGAGGCCGAGAGUCAACAACAGUAGAAGAGGGAGUCCCAGACCCUAAAAAGCCUGCCGCUGAAAGGCCAACCCACCUCCCUCCUAAGAAGGCCUGGUUCCGACAGAGAUAGAUGGUGAAAAAGGGCACUCACAAGUUGAGAGGGAGUAAGAUCACUAGAAUACAGCAUGCGUUCAGACCACCACAGGACCCUAGAGAGAAUCACAGGAGAGAAUCACUGGAGAGCAUCACUGAGGACAGGGGAGAAUGACCAUCUACUUCCAAACAUGAGUUGUCCUAUUUGAAUAAACUUAUUUUCCUCCCCC
Molecule: long non-coding RNA, 335 nt
Filed under: Salmo salar (Atlantic salmon)
Lineage: Eukaryota; Metazoa; Chordata; Actinopteri; Salmoniformes; Salmonidae
Description: lncRNA (ENSSSAG00000087806.1, ENSSSAG00000089123.1, ENSSSAG00020008483.1)
Source: RNAcentral